This 430-nucleotide ribosomal RNA is filed under the name uncultured bacterium. RNAcentral describes it as "bacterial SSU rRNA". It matches the Rfam family "Bacterial small subunit ribosomal RNA", at positions 335 to 758 of the family's 1533-position model. The record is from RNAcentral.
ACUCCUACGGGAGGCAGCAGUGGGGAAUAUUGGACAAUGGGCGAGAGCCUGAUCCAGCCAUGCCGCGUGUGUGAAGAAGGUCUUCGGAUUGUAAAGCACUUUAAGUUGGGAGGAAGGGCAGUAAGUUAAUACCUUGCUGUUUUGACGUUACCGACAGAAUAAGCACCGGCUAACUCUGUGCCAGCAGCCGCGGUAAUACAGAGGGUGCAAGCGUUAAUCGGAAUUACUGGGCGUAAAGCGCGCGUAGGUGGUUUGUUAAGUUGGAUGUGAAAGCCCCCGGGCUCAACCUGGGAACUGCAUCCAAAACUGGCAAGCUAGAGUACGGUAGAGGUGUGGAAUUUCCUGUGUAGCGGUGAAAUGCGUAGAUAUAGGAAGGAACACCAGUGGCGAAGGCGACCACCUGGACUGAUACUGACACUGAGGUGCGAAA